This 400-nucleotide ribosomal RNA is filed under the name uncultured prokaryote. RNAcentral describes it as "bacterial SSU rRNA". It matches the Rfam family "Bacterial small subunit ribosomal RNA", at positions 355 to 774 of the family's 1533-position model. The record is from RNAcentral.
UAGGGAAUAUUAGAAAUGGACGAAAGUCUGAUCUAGCAACACCGCGUGUGCGAAGAAGGCCUUCGGGUCGUAAAGCUCUGUCCUCAAGGAAGAUAAUGACGGUACUUGAGGAGGAAGCCCCGGCUAACUACGUGCCAGCAGCCGCGGUAAUACGUAGGGGGCUAGCGUUAUCCGGAAUUACUGGGCGUAAAGGGUGCGUAGGUGGUUUCUUAAGUCAGAGGUGAAAGGCUACGGCUCAACCGUAGUAAGCCUUUGAAACUGGGAAACUUGAGUGCAGGAGAGGAGAGUGGAAUUCCUAGUGUAGCGGUGAAAUGCGUAGAUAUUGGGAGGAACACCAGAGGCGUAGGCGGUUCUCUAGGCUAGUCCUGACACUGAGACACGAAAGCUAGGGGAGCAAACG